Dreissena polymorpha is the source of this 1897-nucleotide long non-coding RNA. RefSeq lists it as uncharacterized. NCBI's taxonomy places the organism in Eukaryota, Metazoa, Mollusca, Bivalvia, Myida, Dreissenidae. The transcript is spliced from 4 exons. The record is from RefSeq and is a predicted model, not a curated record.
CUCUCCCGUCUAAUAAAAUGAGGGAGGGUAACCGUCGGGGAACUAUUAAGCAAUUAAAUAAUUCGGUUAGACGUUUAUCAGGAAUUUCAGUUCAUAAAAUGUAAACGGUAAUAAGCGUACAACCCUCUAUGGUGCCCCUGCGUUGUGUGGAUUGUCGAUAGAAGCGAUAACUGGCAUUUCAUUGACGGGAGUGUUAUAUAAACGUGAUGAGACAGUGUAGCGUAAUAUUUCAUUGAUGGAUGAGUUGGACUGUUUGUAAACGUAAUAGAGUGGAACUUUUAACAAUGGCAAUUGGAUUAUUUCGUGCGCCAUAGCGAGAGGUUGCACUUUCGAUUCUCAUGGGGUAUGAAGUUUUGAGAAAAGCGGCCAGACUCAACUGGGAAUAGAUGGUUGCCGGUGCGGAAAUGCAGCAUACUUAAUCGUAGUGAUUGAGGUGAUAGGUGUAUUCAAGGCUUCGACAUUGUAUGUAUCAGGUGUACCAUGUUCAUCCGGGUCUGGUGGCAAUAUAUCUGGGUGUAUAGUUGCGUACACAAGGUGGCGCGUUUUCAGCAGAGUCCGUGUCGCUGUAUGAAGAAAGCGGAAGUGUUUGAUGAACAUGUUCACAACGGGUUUUAGACGAGGAGCAGGGCAAAAAUACACAAUUGACACAAAAUGCCACGUUCCCGGUGUGACCCUAGACAACAGUCGCAGUGGGGUUAUCGAUCACCGUAUUUCCGGCCGCUGGUCUUGGAGAUGUUAUCGGGGUCGCUUGUGACAUAACUGGGUGGACCUCCAUCAGGUAUCCGGGCUGUCUCGAGGACAAUUUGGUGGGUGAGAGUGACGGUUUCCUGCUGCGCUGUUUGGGCGCCGCUGGAGCCUUUCCUUUGGAACGACGUGGCGUUUCGGUUAGGAGCUCAGGUUCAUCGACAGCUGCGUCCGAUUCAUCUUCUGAGGCUGAUUGUACCUCACGAACAAAUAUGGGUUCCUUUGGGGGCUCCGUGCUUAAUUUCGGUGGUUGAGCACUGACGGCAUAAUCUGCGGUGAUUUUCUGGAAGCGUUGAUCAACGCGUGAGGCAACGUCGGAGUUUCUGGAACCGCGCAAUAUACUAUGCCAAUCAGGAAACAGGUUCCUGAUAACCUCGCCGUGAACAGAUAGUGCCGCCGGGAAUAGCAUUUUCACGCUCUUGCUGCCGUAUUUUUCACGAGCCGCCUUGAAUUCAGGCCACAGCUCCUUGCGUGCUUCGCUUAUCUCACGUGGAUAGUCCCGCGAUAUUCCGAAGUGAGUGUUUUUCAACAGUUUUGCGCUGACCAUGAUAUCAUUGACAUAACGCGGGUCAGACAGUGUAACGAGUAUCGCCCGACCGCGUGUAGUGCCUUGUGCACGGGCAACGAUGCGCCGGCCAAUUCUCCUUGCUUCAACUAUGCUGUGUAGCCCAAGAGUCAUAUUGAGUUUGCUUGUCAGGAACUCUAGGAUCGUUUGGGUACAUUCCUCGGUACCAACACACUCAGGAAAUCCAUUGAAAAUUAGGUUAUUACGGAGGGAACGGGCUUCAAUGUCGAGACUUUUGUACUCAAGGAGUCGUAGACGGGCCUCUGUGACGUCAUUGAUUGCUUUUGAAUGAUAAAAACUGUUAUUUUAACAAUCCAAUUUGUAGUUCAUAUCAUAGUUUGUUGAUAUCAUGUCAAAAAGACAGUUUAACUUAUGCUCCAUGUCCAUAUGCUCGAACUGCGCACGGGAUGUGGCGGAAAACUGAAGGUCACCCUGGUUUGGGUGGGGUGAGCACGGUACCGACGAGUCACUGGUAGCAUGUCUCCUUCGCUUAGAGUCCCGUGUCAUCCCGUCCCUUGAACUGGACAGAGGGGCAUAUUUACCUGUGUACCGGUUUGCCAUUAUAAAAUUAGAAAAUUUGAAGUUUAA